GUUUCAGACGAACUCUUGUGGUGUUGAAGC
RNAcentral lists this non-coding RNA (30 nucleotides) under Natronorubrum thiooxidans. Lineage: Archaea; Methanobacteriati; Methanobacteriota; Halobacteria; Halobacteriales; Natrialbaceae. The record is from RNAcentral.